AGUGGCGGACGGGUGAGUAACACGUGGGUAACCUGCCCAGAAGUGGGGGAUAACAUUUGGAAACAAGUGCUAAUACCGCAUAACAACUUAGAUCACAUGAUCUUUGUUUAAAAGAUGGUUUUGCUAUCUCUUCUGGAUGGACCCGCGGCGUAUUAGCUAGUUGGUGAGGUAAUAGCUCACCAAGGCGAUGAUACGUAGCCGACCUGAGAGGGUAAUCGGCCACAUUGGGACUGAGACACGGCCCAAACUCCUACGGGAGGCAGCAGUAGGGAAUCUUCCACAAUGGACGAAAGUCUGAUGGAGCAAUGCCGCGUGAGUGAAGAAGGUUUUCGGAUCGUAAAACUCUGUUGUUGAAAAAAAACAUACGUGAGAGUAACUGUUCACGUACUGACGGUAUUCAACCAGAAAGCCACGGCUAACUACGUGCCAGCAGCCGCGGUAAUACGUAGGUGGCAAGCGUUGUCCGGAUUUAUUGGGCGUAAAGAGAAUGUAGGCGGUUUAUUAAGUUUGAAGUGAAAGCCCUCGGCUCAACCGAGGAAGUGCUUCAAAAACUGGUAAACUUGAGUGCAGAAGAGGAAAGUGGAACUCCAUGUGUAGCGGUGGAAUGCGUANAUAUAUGGAAGAACACCAGUGGCGAAGGCGGCUUUCUGGUCUGUAACUGACGCUGAGAUUCGAAAGCAUGGGUAGCAAACAGGAUUAGAUACCCUGGUAGUCCAUGCCGUAAACGAUGAGUGCUAAGUGUUGGAGGGUUUCCGCCCUUCAGUGCUGCAGCUAACGCAUUAAGCACUCCGCCUGGGGAGUACGAUCGCAAGAUUGAAACUCAAAGGAAUUGACGGGGGCCCGCACAAGCGGUGGAGCAUGUGGUUUAAUUCGAAGCAACGCGAAG
Molecule: ribosomal RNA, 886 nt
Filed under: Companilactobacillus paralimentarius
Lineage: Bacteria; Bacillati; Bacillota; Bacilli; Lactobacillales; Lactobacillaceae
Description: bacterial SSU rRNA
Rfam family: Bacterial small subunit ribosomal RNA
Source: RNAcentral